UACGUAGGGGGCGAGCGUUGUCCGGAAUCAUUGGGCGUAAAGAGCUCGUAGGCGGCUCAGUAAGUCGGCUGUGAAAUCCCAGGGCUCAACCCUGGAACUGCAGUCGAUACUGCUGUGGCUUGAGUUUGGUAGAGGAGAAUGGAAUUCCCGGUGUAGCGGUGGAAUGCGCAGAUAUCGGGAGGAACACCAGUAGCGAAGGCGGUUCUCUGGGCCAAUACUGACGCUGAGGAGCGAAAGCGUGGGGAGCAAACAGG
Molecule: ribosomal RNA, 254 nt
Filed under: uncultured bacterium
Lineage: Bacteria
Description: partial 16S ribosomal RNA
Rfam family: Bacterial small subunit ribosomal RNA
Source: RNAcentral